AUGGAGGAAGCAUUCAGUGAUGGAGAUGAACAAGCAGCAUUCACAAGGUUUCUCUCCUUCCCUAAGAGGUAUUACCCUGCAUUGUUAGGGACUGAGAGAUUCUACUUUAAGGCUUCAAGUUGCUGCAAUCAUUCAUUGAGGCAACAGUACAAAGCUGCCAAUUUGAAAACAAGGCUUUGCUCAGUAGCAGAAGAAAAUGAAAAAUUCAAGGGUAAAAUAAAAAGGACAUGUGCAUUGUGUAACCCAAAGGCUGAUGCUGGCAGAGGAUGGAUGAUACCAAGAUAGGAGCUGUGGCUGGGUCCUUUCCUGCACUGCUUAUCCAGAAGCACAGGAAGAACUAGAGG
RNAcentral lists this long non-coding RNA (344 nucleotides) under Cyanistes caeruleus (blue tit). RNAcentral describes it as "lncRNA (ENSCCEG00000022888.1)". Lineage: Eukaryota; Metazoa; Chordata; Aves; Passeriformes; Paridae. The record is from RNAcentral.